This 494-nucleotide ribosomal RNA is filed under the name uncultured bacterium. RNAcentral's name for it is "partial 16S ribosomal RNA". It matches the Rfam family "Bacterial small subunit ribosomal RNA", at positions 28 to 507 of the family's 1533-position model. The record is from RNAcentral.
GACGAACGCUGGCGGCGUGCUUAACACAUGCAAGUCGAACGGAAAGGCCUGCUUUCCCUUGUGGAUUGCGGGUACUCGAGUGGCGAACGGGUGAGUAACACGUGAGUGAUCUGCCCCCAACUUGGGUAUAAGCCUGGGAAACUGGGUCUAAUUCCCGAUAGGACUGCAGGGUGGUGCCUGUGGUGGAAAACGAUUUUCUAGUGGUUGGGGAUGAGCUCGCGGCCUAUCAGCUUGUUGGUGGGGUAAUGGCCUACCAAGGCGGCGACAGGUAGCCGGCCUGAGAGGGUGGACGGCCACAUUGGGACUGAGAUACGGCCCAGACUCCUACGGGAGGCAGCAGUGGGGAAUAGUGCACAAUGGGCGGAAGCCUGAUGCAGCGACGCCGCGUGGGGGAUGACGGCCUUCGGGUUGUAAACUCCUUUCGACCGCGAGGAAGCCACCUGGUUGGAAGGGUGGUGACGGUAGUGGUAGAAGAAGCACCGGCUAACUACGUG